Lingula anatina is the source of this 1330-nucleotide long non-coding RNA. NCBI's taxonomy places the organism in Eukaryota, Metazoa, Brachiopoda, Lingulata, Lingulida, Lingulidae. The record is from RefSeq and is a predicted model, not a curated record.
CUGACGGGCAACUAAAGAAGAUAUUAAUCCAGUCUAAUGCAUCUGCGGUAGAAUAUGCAUCAGUACAAGUGUCAAAAGAUGAGGUUAAAGAUAUACAGUUAGAUAGCACAGGCGAGCACAUGUAUGUUAUGACCAAAUACAAGGUCAGUAAACUGAAGGUAGAAGACUGCGGUAGUUACAGUAGUUGUGAUGAUUGUCUGGCAUCCAGAGAUCCGUUUUGUGGGUGGUGUAAUCUGGAGAACAAGUAAGAAUAUUGUAAUAAUUGUCUGGCAUCCAGAGAUCCGUUCUGUGGGUGGUGUAAUCUGGAGAACAAGUAAGAAUAUUGUAAUAAUUGUCUGGCAUCAAGAGAUCCGUUCUGUGGGUGGUGUAAUCUGGAGAACAAGUAAGAAUAUUGUAAUAAUUGUCUGGCAUCCAGAGAUCCGUUCUGUGGGUGGUGUAGUCUGGAGAACAAGAGCGUGCCGGACAAUUAAGCUGAAUACAUGCACUGACAGCACCUUAGCUACUCGUAGAAUCCCCGCUGAGAUAGAGCGAUCCUGCUAGUACUGAAAGGUAAUGAGAACGCAGUCUAAGAAUAGAAUAUUGUGUGUAAGGAUUUGAACGAUUUGCUUUGCAUACCUGAUGGCUAAAACCCGCUGUUUUUGUAGAAGUUUGAGAAUCAAUUAAAAUGCAACGUGUUCGUAUUGGAAUUUAUUGUUCAGACGUUACUUGCUGCGAUUUCAUUUCAAAUUUGAAUUUAUGAUUUAAAGUAUGUCUGGCGAAAUGUUCUUAUAUUUUUUCCACGCGGUUAGUGUCUUACAUGAACCGACACAGACCGAUAUAUAGCUAACGUUGAAUGUGUGACUGAAAAACUACCGGUAACUCAUGCUUACCUCACGCGAAUCCUCUUUCUUGAAUCCAUUUUUUGUCAUCCAACAUGAUCCUAUGUUAUUGUAGGUUGAAUGAAAGGUAAUCUUUUAAUGCAAUGAACCUUCUGCAUCUACUUCAUGUGUUUAUUUAUUUAGAUGCAGCAGAAAAAGUCAAUGCUCGGAUGCAGAUGGCUCAGGAAGAUGGCUUCCGUUUGACAACGGACAGUGUAUCAAGAUCAAUACCAUUUCACCAUCAAACACACCUCUAGCCAGACCUACACAGGUGAACCUAUCUGUAAGCCUCCUACCCCCCGACCAGCCCUACCAGUGUCUAUUUGAUACCACAGCUGUCAGUGCCACAGUCACUGGAGGAAACUUGGUGACAUGUGACACACCCACCAGCUUACCUAUUAUACCAACUGGGGACGAUCACAUCACAAUACCAUUAUCUAUCAAAUCAUUAACGACAGGAGUCGAGUUUCUAA